RNAcentral lists this transfer RNA (84 nucleotides) under Cytospora mali. RNAcentral's name for it is "tRNA-Tyr". It matches the Rfam family "tRNA". Rfam says of the family: Transfer RNA (tRNA) molecules are approximately 80 nucleotides in length. Lineage: Eukaryota; Fungi; Ascomycota; Sordariomycetes; Diaporthales; Cytosporaceae. The record is from RNAcentral.
AGGAAACUCCCUUUACGGUAAGAAGGGCUGAGCUGUAAACUCAGUAGCUAGAUGCUUUUAAGAGUUCGAAUCUCUUGUUUCCUA